AUUGAACGCUGGCGGCAUGCCUUACACAUGCAAGUCGAACGGCAGCACGGGAGCUUGCUCCUGGUGGCGAGUGGCGAACGGGUGAGUAAUACAUCGGAACGUACCCUGAAGUGGGGGAUAACGUAGCGAAAGUUACGCUAAUACCGCAUAUUCUGUGAGCAGGAAAGAAGGGGGAGUCGCAAGACCUCUUGCUUUAGGAGCGGCCGAUGUCGGAUUAGCUAGUUGGUGAGGUAAAAGGCUCACCAAGGCGACGAUCCGUAGCGGGUCUGAGAGGAUGAUCCGCCACACUGGGACUGAGACACGGCCCAGACUCCUACGGGAGGCAGCAGUGGGGGAAUUUUGGACAAUGGGCGCAAGCCUGAUCCAGCCAUGCCGCGUGAGUGAAGAAGGCCUCGGUU
RNAcentral lists this ribosomal RNA (398 nucleotides) under uncultured bacterium. RNAcentral's name for it is "bacterial SSU rRNA". It matches the Rfam family "Bacterial small subunit ribosomal RNA", at positions 30 to 424 of the family's 1533-position model. The record is from RNAcentral.